Molecule: ribosomal RNA, 274 nt
Filed under: uncultured bacterium
Lineage: Bacteria
Description: partial 16S ribosomal RNA
Rfam family: Bacterial small subunit ribosomal RNA
Source: RNAcentral
CUACGGAGGGUCCGAGCGUUAAUCGGAAUUACUGGGCGUAAAGCGCGCGUAGGCGGAUAUUUAAGUCAGAUGUGAAAUCCCUGGGCUCAACCUAGGAACUGCAUUUGAAACUGGAUAUCUAGAGUAUGGUAGAGGUGAGUGGAAUUUCAGGUGCAGCGGUGAAAUGCGUAGAGAUCUGAAGGAACAUCAGUGGCGAAGGCGAAUCACUGGGCCAUUACUGACGCUGAGGUGCGAAAGCGUGGGUAGCAAACAGGAUUAGAAACCCGGGUAGUCC